UGUCUUCGGGGCGGGGUGAAAUUCCCCACCGGUGGUAAAGCCCACGACCGAGAGUAAUCUCGCUGAACCUGUGAAAUUCAGGUGCCGACGGUAUAGUCCGGAUGAGAGAGGAUU
RNAcentral lists this non-coding RNA (114 nucleotides) under uncultured Ruminococcus sp. Its description in RNAcentral is "FMN riboswitch (RFN element)". It matches the Rfam family "FMN riboswitch aptamer (RFN element)". From Rfam's summary of the family: The RFN element is a highly conserved domain that is found frequently in the 5'-untranslated regions of prokaryotic mRNAs that encode for flavin mononucleotide (FMN) biosynthesis and transport proteins. This element is a metabolite-dependent riboswitch that directly binds FMN in the absence of proteins. The record is from RNAcentral. Lineage: Bacteria; Bacillati; Bacillota; Clostridia; Eubacteriales; Oscillospiraceae.